ACUGAUCAGGUAGUGACGGUAUCCAACCAGAAAGCCACGGCUAACUACGUGCCAGCAGCCGCGGUAAUACGUAGGUGGCAAGCGUUGUCCGGAUUUAUUGGGCGUAAAGCGAGCGCAGGCGGUUUCUUAAGUCUGAUGUGAAAGCCUUCGGCUCAACCGAAGAAGUGCAUCGGAAACUGGGAAACUUGAGUGCAGAAGAGGACAGUGGAACUCCAUGUGUAGCGGUGAAAUGCGUAGAUAUAUGGAAGAACACCAGUGGCGAAGGCGGCUGUCUGGUCUGUAACUGACGCUGAGGCUCGAAAGCAUGGGUAGCAAACAGGAUUAGAUACCCUGGUAGUCCAUGCCGUAAACGAUGAGUGCUAGGUGUUGGAGGGUUUCCGCCCUUCAGUGCCGCAGCUAACGCAUUAAGCACUCCGCCUGGGGAGUACGACCGCAAGGUUGAAACUCAAAGGAAUUGACGGGGGCCCGCACAAGCGGUGGAGCAUGUGGUUUAAUUCGAAGCAACGCGAAGAACCUUACCAGGUCUUGACAUCCUUUGACCACUCUAGAGAUAGAGCUUUCCCUUCGGGGACAAAGUGACAGGUGGUGCAUGGUUGUCGUCAGCUCGUGUCGUGAGAUGUUGGGUUAAGUCCCGCAACGAGCGCAACC
RNAcentral lists this ribosomal RNA (648 nucleotides) under Latilactobacillus sakei. Its description in RNAcentral is "bacterial SSU rRNA". It matches the Rfam family "Bacterial small subunit ribosomal RNA", at positions 457 to 1103 of the family's 1533-position model. Lineage: Bacteria; Bacillati; Bacillota; Bacilli; Lactobacillales; Lactobacillaceae. The record is from RNAcentral.